GCGAGGAAUAUUGCGCAAUGGAGGCAACUCUGACGCAGCCAUGCCGCGUGCAGGAAGAAGGCGCUACGCGUUGUAAACUGCUUUUAACCGGGAAGAAACCCCAGGACGUGUCCUGGGUUGACGGUACCGGAGGAAUAAGCACCGGCUAACUUCGUGCCAGCAGCCGCGGUAAUACGAAGGGUGCAAGCGUUAUCCGGAUUCAUUGGGUUGAAAGGGUGCGUAGGCGGAGCGUUAAGUCAGUGGUGAAAUCCUGCAGCUUAACUGUAGACUUGCCAUUGAUACUGGCGCUCUUGAGUGCGCUUGAAGUGGGCGGAAUGUGCCGUGUAGCGGUGAAAUGCUUAGAUAUGGCACAGAACACCAAUUGCGAAGGCAGCUCACUAUGGCGAUACUGACGCUGAGGCACGAAAGCGUGGGGAUCGAACCGGCUUAGAAACCCUAGUAGUCC
This 445-nucleotide ribosomal RNA is filed under the name uncultured bacterium. Its description in RNAcentral is "partial 16S ribosomal RNA". It matches the Rfam family "Bacterial small subunit ribosomal RNA", at positions 354 to 796 of the family's 1533-position model. The record is from RNAcentral.